AGCGGCGGACGGGUGAGUAAUGUCUAGGAAUCUGCCUGGUAGAGGGGGAUAACGUCCGGAAACGGGCGCUAAUACCGCAUACGUUCUGAAGGAGAAAGUGGGGGAUCUUCGGACCUCACGCUAUCAGAUGAGCCUAGAUGGGAUUAGCUAGUUGGUGGGGUAAAGGCUUACCAAGGCGACGAUCCGUAACUGGUCUGAGAGGAUGAUCAGUCACACUGGAACUGAGACACGGUCCAGACUCCUACGGGAGGCAGCAGUGGGGAAUAUUGGACAAUGGGCGAAAGCCUGAUCCAGCCAUGCCGCGUGUGUGAAGAAGGUCUUCGGAUUGUAAAGCACUUUAAGUUGGGAGGAAGGGCAGUAAGUUAAUACCUUGCUGGUUUGACGUUACCAACAGAAUAAGCACCGGCUAACUUCGUGCCAGCAGCCGCGGUAAUACGAAGGGUGCAAGCGUUAAUCGGAAUUACUGGGCGUAAAGCGCGCGCAGGCGGUUCAGCAAGUUGGAUGUGAAAUCCCCGGGCUCAACCUGGGAACUGCAUCCAAAACUAGCUGAGUUAGAGUACGGUAGAGGGUGGUAGAAUUCCACUGUGUAGCGGUGAAAUGCGUAGAUAUACGGAAGGAAUCACCAGUGGCGAAGGCGACCCCCCCUGGACAUGAGUACUGAGCACUGCAGGUGCGAAAUGCGUGGG
This 686-nucleotide ribosomal RNA is filed under the name Pseudomonas aeruginosa. RNAcentral's name for it is "bacterial SSU rRNA". It matches the Rfam family "Bacterial small subunit ribosomal RNA", at positions 94 to 765 of the family's 1533-position model. The record is from RNAcentral. Lineage: Bacteria; Pseudomonadati; Pseudomonadota; Gammaproteobacteria; Pseudomonadales; Pseudomonadaceae.